CGUAACGCAGCGUACACAUGCAGUCGAGCGGAAACGAUCCUAGCUUGCUAGGAGGCGUCGAGCGGCGGACGGGUGAGUAAUGCAUAGGAAUCUGCCCGGUAGUGGGGGAUAACCUGGGGAAACCCAGGCUAAUACCGCAUACGCCCUACGGGGGAAAGCAGGGGAUCUUCGGACCUUGCGCUAUCGGAUGAGCCUAUGUCGGAUUAGCUUGUUGGUGAGGUAAUGGCUCACCAAGGCGACGAUCCGUAGCUGGUCUGAGAGGAUGAUCAGCCACAUCGGGACUGAGACACGGCCCGAACUCCUACGGGAGGCAGCAGUGGGGAAUAUUGGACAAUGGGCGAAAGCCUGAUCCAGCCAUGCCGCGUGUGUGAAGAAGGCUUUCGGGUUGUAAAGCACUUUCAGUGAGGAAGAAUGCCUUGGGCCUAAUACGCCCGAGGAAAGACAUCACUCACAGAAGAAGCACCGGCUAACUCCGUGCCAGCAGCCGCGGUAAUACGGAGGGUGCGAGCGUUAAUCGGAAUUACUGGGCGUAAAGCGCGCGUAGGUGGCUUGAUAAGCCGGUUGUGAAAGCCCCGGGCUCAACCUGGGAACGGCAUCCGGAACUGUCA
Molecule: ribosomal RNA, 608 nt
Filed under: Halomonas saccharevitans
Lineage: Bacteria; Pseudomonadati; Pseudomonadota; Gammaproteobacteria; Oceanospirillales; Halomonadaceae
Description: bacterial SSU rRNA
Rfam family: Bacterial small subunit ribosomal RNA
Source: RNAcentral